This 253-nucleotide ribosomal RNA is filed under the name uncultured bacterium. Its description in RNAcentral is "partial 16S ribosomal RNA". It matches the Rfam family "Bacterial small subunit ribosomal RNA", at positions 524 to 776 of the family's 1533-position model. The record is from RNAcentral.
CACGUAGGGGCCAAGCGUUGUCCGGAUUUAUUGGGCGUAAAGAGCUCGUAGGCGGUCUGUCACGUCGGCUGUGAAAUCCCGAGGCUCAACCUCGGGUCUGCAGUCGAUACGGGCAAACUAGAGUAUUGCAGGGGAGACUGGAAUUCCUGGUGUAGCGGUGAAAUGCGCAGAUAUCAGGAGGAACACCGGUGGCGAAGGCGGGUCUCUGGGCAAUAACUGACGCUGAGGAGCGAAAGCGUGGGGAGCGAACAGG